CUCAAACUCGCGCAGAGCAGCAUUGUUUUUUCAACUGCGAAUGGCUCAUUAAAUCAGUUAUCGUUUAUUUGAUAGUACCUUACUACAUGGAUACCUGUGGUAAUUCUAGAGCUAAUACAUGCUGAAAACCUCGACUUCGGAAGGGGUGUAUUUAUUAGAUAAAAAACCAAUGCCCUUCGGGGCUCCUUGGUGAAUCAUAAUAACUUAACGAAUCGCAUGGCCUUGCGCCGGCGAUGGUUCAUUCAAAUUUCUGCCCUAUCAACUUUCGAUGGUAGGAUAGUGGCCUACCAUGGUGGCAACGGGUAACGGGGAAUUAGGGUUCGAUUCCGGAGAGGGAGCCUGAGAAACGGCUACCACAUCCAAGGAAGGCAGCAGGCGCGCAAAUUACCCAAUCCCGACACGGGGAGGUAGUGACAAUAAAUACUGAUACGGGGCUCUUUUGGGUCUCGUAAUUGGAAUGAGUACAAUCUAAAUCCCUUAACGAGGAACAAUUGGAGGGCAAGUCUGGUGCCAGCAGCCAGAGUAAUCUUAUUUUUUGUCCUCCGAAGACGAGGUUUUUCUCUCAAUGGCGUUCGUUUUCUGUUAUUCUUUGGUUGAGCAGACGCUGGAGCGCAUUUACAUUUAUGUGUUCGUCGAAUUGUUGAAGGGACAAUCUGGAAAUUAUGUAACAUGGUUUAUUAGGGUAAUGUCCAAUACUAUGCACAGAUUUCGUGGAGACCAAUAUCGAUAGAUUUACCCGUUUAUCUGUCUUUACAACGCAUAGGGUUUGAGACGACUAUUCAACACUUGAUAAUGUUCAUAC
This 802-nucleotide ribosomal RNA is filed under the name Aspergillus niger. RNAcentral describes it as "bacterial SSU rRNA". The stretch from base 1 to 539 matches the Rfam family "Eukaryotic small subunit ribosomal RNA", at positions 66 to 595 of the family's 1831-position model. The record is from RNAcentral. Lineage: Eukaryota; Fungi; Ascomycota; Eurotiomycetes; Eurotiales; Aspergillaceae.